GCAGCACGUGGUUCUUCGGGUGGCAACACAAAUCUGAACGGCGUUGUGAUGAUUGUAGGAUAGGAUAGAACGAACCCACAGCGAAAACCAGGCUUUUAAUUUCUUGAUUAAUUAAUUUUGAAAUAAAUAAUUGGUUUGGGUGAUAUCAUUAAUGCAAUUUGCCACACUUUCCCAGUGAGGAAAUGAAGGAAAAUCAGUUGUAGUAUUGAGAAGAAGAGCACAAUCAAUUAUCAUUCUGCCACCGACAAUGGUUUCUGCGGAGAAUGAUUCGCAUUCCACUUCCGAUCAAGCUACUCAUAAUCAUUCCUCCGUUUCCGACAAAGCUCACAGAAGCAUCGGCAAGUCCAUGCGAACCGUGCGCUCCAAAUUAUUCCGACGCGACCACGCCACGUGCGUCUCCGAUAGCCUAACCGAUUCGCUCAUGGAACUCGCCUCGCGAAACUCAAAGUCAGUUAAAUCUUCCGUUACGGAGGAGCAACUUCUCGAGCUCUCUCAAGCUUUGAGCGAUUUCUCUGCCUGCAGCAGCGAUAUCUCUGGAGAGCUCCAGAGGCUCGCCACCGUCUCCUCCUACGAACCUGCAGUUGACGGGGAUCGCGAGCCCGAACCUGAGCCGGAGCCUUGCCUAGGGUUUCUCCAACGGGAGAGUUUCUCCACGGAGAUAAUCGAGAGUAUCUCGCCGGAGGAUCUUCAGCCCACGGUGAAGAUCUGCGUCGACGGACUGCAUUCUCCGUCGGUGGCGGUGAAGCGAUCGGCGGCGGCGAAGCUGAGGCUGUUGGCGAAGAACAGAGCGGACAACCGCGCUCUGAUUGGCGAGUCCGGUGCGGUGCCUGCUCUUGUUCCGUUGCUCCGGUGCAGCGAUCCGUGGACGCAGGAGCACGCGGUCACGGCGUUGCUGAAUCUGUCUCUUCUGGAGGAGAACAAGGCGCUGAUAACGAAUGCCGGUGCGGUGAAGUCGCUGAUUUACGUGCUUAAAACAGGGACGGAAACUUCGAAGCAGAACGCGGCUUGCGCGCUGAUGAGUCUUGCCUUGGUGGAGGAGAACAAGAUCUCGAUCGGUGCUUGCGGGGCAAUACCGCCGCUGGUUUCGCUGCUACUGAAUGGCUCCCACAGAGGGAAGAAGGACGCACUGACGACGCUGUAUAAGCUGUGCUCGGUGCGGCAGAACAAAGAGAGGGCGGUGAGCGCGGGGGCAGUGAAGCCGCUGGUGGAGCUGGUGGCGGAGGAAGGGAGCGGGAUGGCGGACAAGGCGAUGGUGGUGCUAAACAGCUUGGCGGGGAUUGAGGAGGGAAAAGAGGCGAUCGUGGAAGAAGGUGGUAUUGCUGCGCUUGUGGAGGCGAUCGAAGAUGGGUCGGUGAAGGGGAAGGAGUUCGCUGUUCUGACUCUUGUUCAGCUCUGUGCUCACAGCGUUAAUAACAGAGGCUUGCUUGUGAGAGAGGGCGGGAUUCCUCCUCUCGUUGCUCUUUCUCAGAACGGCUCUGUUCGAGCUAAGCACAAGGCUGAGACACUCCUUGGAUAUUUAAGAGAAUCAAGACAUGAAGCAUCCUGUUCAAGUCCCUAGAGAGUAGUUUAUAUAUAGGAAGGCCCGUGAAGCUGCUUCUCCUUGUUGUAAAGUCCUCCAGUUUCAUGCUUUCAUGUGCGGUGUGGUAUGAAGUAGCAUCUGGGUGGCAAAUCAGUGUCCCACCUUCAGCAUGCAGGCCAACCCCACAGACUGCGACUACUCAUACCUGUGUUUUACAGGGACCUGGGUUGUGGGGCUCCCAAAGAAAAUUUGGGUCAGCAAUCUGAGGCAUGUGAAGUGAAGCUACCCACUCUUGUAGAGAUUUCCAAGAUGAAUUAAAUGCCAUUUCAUUAAUUAUUUGAGGAGGCAAGAAGAGAAGCACCUUUUAUUGUGAUGUCCUCCAUAUCAUUAAAGCUACUCUUACAUGGCAACUACUCAUCUUCAACUUUUUCUUUGAUGUCCUUCUUUUUCUUGUUAAACGGGAAGGGUUUGAAGCCUUCUUGAAGCAACUUCUCCACUUCCUCAAACUGAAGGCCUUUGGUUUCAGGCACUAAUGCAUAGAUUGCUAUCAAUGCAAUGACGGAGAACCCAGCAAAAAGUAGGAAUGUGCCGGCUGCACCAAGAGUCUCAGCCAUGCUUAAGAAUGACUCACUCACAAUAAGAUUAGCACACCAGUUGGAAACUGCAGCUAUACCUCCACCUAAACCUCUGUAUCUCAAAGGGUAUAUCUCUGAAUUCAGAACCCAAGGCACUGUUCCCAUUCCUGGAGAGUAUGCUAGAAUAUACAAUCCCAGCACUGCUACAGCUAAGAUUCCAAUUUUGCUUGGACAACCCUUAGAAAACCAUACUCGUUUCUCUGCACGGCACUCUCCUCUUACACUCUUUUCUGCAGACAGGCAUGCACCUGGAUGAUACUGUACAACAAAUACAGACAGACAGACACAGCUUUGGUUAAACAAGGUUGCAUGAUGUUCAGCUUAAUUUAUACACAUUUGGGAAGAAAUUAUUAGCUAUUCUGAUUUGUUAGAUCAUAAUUGUCCUGAAUUAUGUAAUAGUUUCUGAUUUACAAGAACAUGCAAGUUGAGGGUCUUGUUGUGAGGUAAUUAGUUAUGGGAGUGGCCUAACAGUGUUAGCAUGUGAUACGAGGAAGUUGGAAGAACCUACUUCGUUGUCGCUGUUGGCACAGAAGGCACAGUCUUCAUGCAAACAUUGCAUGCAGUUCCAGGAAGGGAAUUUAGGAGCAUUUAUAUAAGGCUGGCAUGUAGAGUUGGUUCCAAAACUGAGGGUGUCUUGGUCACUAACUGCAGGGGCAUGUUUAGCUGCCUGGAAAAAGACAGCACUUGAAACGACGAGGCAAACAAUGAUUCCAACCAGGGAAAUGAGCAUAAGUCUUCUCCUUCCAUAUCUAUCGAUGAAUGCCAUACUCAUGACAGUACCAACAGCAUUGAGACCUGAUGUAAUGAGAGAAAGUGCAAGAGCUGUUGAGUUAGAUGCAAUUCCAGCGAACUGAACAAUGGUUGGACUGUAAUACAUGAGUGUGUUAAUGCCCACAAACUGCUGAGCAACUUGAACAGUGAUGCCAGCAUAUAGACCUCUUCGAACUACAUCAUUGCUAAAAGCAUCCUUCAAUCUUUUUGCCAAAUUCUUUUGGCCAUUCGAGUGUUCCUCCUUCUCAGCUUGAACAGACUCUUGCAUUGAUCUCAUCUCUUCUUCAAUUUCGUCUUGCCGAUAGAUUCUCAACAGGAUGUUCCUUGCCUCCUCUUCCUUCCCCUGAAAUACCAAAUGGAUGCCAAUCACUGAGUUUAUGCUAUUGAACAAUAAACACAUGUAAGCAAUUUCACAAACAAUUAAUGCACAAAAAUUUCAAUCUGGAUUGGAUUGGCAGGAAGAUUUGCAAUACCUGACGGUAGAGCCAUCUGGGUGACUCAGGGAGAGACAACAUCAAUACAAACUGAAGCACAGCAGGAAUUCCUGCCACCCCAAGCAUCCAUCGCCAGGUUCCAGGUACCUGAAACGCAUCAAAUUGACCAUUAAGAAAAAAAAGAAAACAACCCUCUGAUCUGACAACGUUAUCCAAAAGUUUUACACUUCAGUUCAGUUCCUAUAUGUUUACCUUGGUGAAUGCCAAAUUGAUAAGGUAAGACAGAAAUUGUCCUCCUGUGAGAAGCAGACCAUUGACACAGACUAGAGCUCCUCUGAUGUUAUGAGGAGAAGCUUCUGAGAUGUACAGAGGUGCAGUCAUGGAUGCCAUACCAACUCCCAAACCAACUAAGAUUCUCCCAAUAAUGAGGAUCAACGGAAACGGUGCAAAAGCCAUAACUAUUGCACCGAGAAAGAACAAAACAUCAGAUACUAUAAUCGACUUUUUUCUCCCAAAUUUGUCAUUUAUCCAUCCUCCAAAUGCAGCACCAAUGAUGGCUCCUGCGACAGCCAUGCUUACAAUCGUUUCCUGCAACAGCAAUAAAAUAGAACAUUAAGUCAAUCAUCUAGAAAUGGAGGGUGACAGCACAUCCCUUCUUCGCAGAAUUCACCUGUAGCCAUGUUUUCUUGUCAACUUCUUCAAAGUAGUCUCGGAUGUAUAACAGAGCUCCAGAGAUGACACCUACACGUGUGAGGAUUCAGUAAAAUAAUCUUGAAGAUAUGAUGUUAUAGAAGAAAGAGAGGAACUUGUUGAGUGUAUAUGUUGAGACAGAAAAACCUGAAUUCGAGGUCAGGAGCCUCCUAAGAAGUUUAUGAGAAGAGAAUGAAAUAUAUUUUUCUUUUCCUUUUUUCAA
Vigna angularis (adzuki bean) is the source of this 4272-nucleotide RNA transcript. It is a transcript of the gene named U-box domain-containing protein 4, with no coding region annotated. The record is from RefSeq and is a predicted model, not a curated record. NCBI's taxonomy places the organism in Eukaryota, Viridiplantae, Streptophyta, Magnoliopsida, Fabales, Fabaceae. The transcript is spliced from 4 exons.